RNAcentral lists this ribosomal RNA (439 nucleotides) under uncultured Lactococcus sp. Its description in RNAcentral is "bacterial SSU rRNA". It matches the Rfam family "Bacterial small subunit ribosomal RNA", at positions 457 to 896 of the family's 1533-position model. The record is from RNAcentral. Lineage: Bacteria; Bacillati; Bacillota; Bacilli; Lactobacillales; Streptococcaceae.
AAAGUUACUUAAGUGACGGUAUCUAACCAGAAAGGGACGGCUAACUACGUGCCAGCAGCCGCGGUAAUACGUAGGUCCCAAGCGUUGUCCGGAUUUAUUGGGCGUAAAGCGAGCGCAGGUGGUUUCUUAAGUCUGGUGUAAAAGGCAGUGGCUCAACCAUUGUAUGCAUUGGAAACUGGUAGACUUGAGUGCAGGAGAGGAGAGUGGAAUUCCAUGUGUAGCGGUGAAAUGCGUAGAUAUAUGGAGGAACACCGGUGGCGAAAGCGGCUCUCUGGCCUGUAACUGACACUGAGGCUCGAAAGCGUGGGGAGCAAACAGGAUUAGAUACCCUGGUAGUCCACGCCGUAAACGAUGAGUGCUAGAUGUAGGGAGCUAUAAGUUCUCUGUAUCGCAGCUAACGCAAUAAGCACUCCGCCUGGGGAGUACGGCCGCAAGGUUG